UAGCUUGCUAAUUUCAUUCUUAGUGGCGGACGGGUUAGUAACACGUGAGAUACAUACCCUUUAGACAGGAAUAGCCCAUGGAAACGUGGAUUAAUGCCUGAUAGACUCUACGGAGUAAAGGAUGCCUUCGGGUAUCGCUAAAGGAUUGGCUCGCGGCCUAUCAGCUUGUUGGUGAGGUAAAGGCUCACCAAGGCGACGACGGGUAGCUGGUCUGAGAGGACGAUCAGCAACACUGGAACUGAGACACGGUCCAGACACCUACGGGUGGCAGCAGUCGAGAAUCAUUCACAAUGGAGGCAACUCUGAUGGUGCAACGCCGCGUGGAGGAUGACGGUCCUAGGAUUGUAAACUCCUGUCAUUGGGGAGUAAGACUUAAGCGUUAAUAGCGCCUUAAGUUUGAUAGUACCCAAAGAGGAAGGGACGGCUAACUUCGUGCCAGCAGCCGCGGUAAUACGAAGGUCCCAAGCGUUGUUCGGAAUAACUGGGCGUAAAGCGUGUGUAGGCUGCGCGGAAAGUCAAAUGUGAAAGCC
RNAcentral lists this ribosomal RNA (530 nucleotides) under uncultured Verrucomicrobiae bacterium. RNAcentral describes it as "bacterial SSU rRNA". It matches the Rfam family "Bacterial small subunit ribosomal RNA", at positions 76 to 602 of the family's 1533-position model. The record is from RNAcentral. Lineage: Bacteria; Pseudomonadati; Verrucomicrobiota; Verrucomicrobiia.